AAGCGGCAACAGCUCAAAUUUGAAAUCUGGCUCCUUCGGGGUCCGAGUUGUAAUUUGCAGAGGGUGCUUUGGCGUUGGCGGCGGUCUAAGUUCCUUGGAACAGGACAUCACAGAGGGUGAGAAUCCCGUACGUGGUCGCCUGCCUUCGCCGUGUAAAGCCCCUUCGACGAGUCGAGUUGUUUGGGAAUGCAGCUCUAAAUGGGAGGUAAAUUUCUUCUAAAGCUAAAUACCGGCCAGAGACCGAUAGCGCACAAGUAGAGUGAUCGAAAGAUGAAAAGCACUUUGGAAAGAGAGUCAAACAGCACGUGAAAUUGUUAUAAGGGAAGCGCUUGCAGCCAGACUUGCCUGUAGUUGCUCACCUGGGCUUUUGCCCGGGGCACUCUUCUGCAGGCAGGCCAGCAUCAGUUUGGGCGGUCGGAUAAAGGCCUCUGACACGUACUUCCUUUCGGGGUUGACAUAUAGGGGAGGCGUAAUGCGACCAGCCUGGACUGAGGUCCGCGCAUCUGCUAGGAUGCUGGCGUAAUGGCUGUAAGCGGCCCGUCUUGAAACACGGACCAAGGAGUCUAACAUCUAUGCGAGUGUUUGGGUGUCAAGCCCGAGCGCGUAAUGAAAGUGAACGGAGGUGGGAACCCCUCGGGGCGCACCAUCGACCGAUCCUGAUGUCUUCGGAUGGAUUUGAGUAAGAGCAUAGCUGUUGGGACCCGAAAGAUGGUGAACUAUGCUUGAAUAGGGUGAAGCCAGAGGAAACUCUGGUGGAGGCUCGCAGCGGUUCUGACGUGCAAAUCGAUCGUCAAAU
Molecule: ribosomal RNA, 796 nt
Filed under: Periconia verrucosa
Lineage: Eukaryota; Fungi; Ascomycota; Dothideomycetes; Pleosporales; Periconiaceae
Description: partial large subunit ribosomal RNA
Rfam family: Eukaryotic large subunit ribosomal RNA
Source: RNAcentral